Molecule: long non-coding RNA, 792 nt
Organism: Fukomys damarensis (Damara mole-rat)
Lineage: Eukaryota; Metazoa; Chordata; Mammalia; Rodentia; Bathyergidae
Exons: 4
Source: RefSeq, a predicted model, not a curated record
GGACUUGAAAAAGUCUGGUCUUAUUUUGGAAAUCCUAUCCAUCUGUAUUACGCUGGCUUUAGGGAAGUCGAAGAGGUUGUGAAACCCAUGAAGAGCUUUCAACCUGGAACAAAACUAACUCCAGACCUAGAAUUUGCAGUCGUUUUAGGAAACGCUCAAUUGCAGUGAGAAAACUGAAGUAGUAAGUGUUAAGACGCGUCACGAUCCGCGCCACCCUUGUUUUUACCCAGCACAAAUAUGUACUCAAGUCCCGGGUUGGCUGGCUCCAGAGGAAACACAGCAGGGCAGAGGGUCAUGGUGAAGGAAAACUGUUCAUCCUUGGUGGCUAGGGAGCAGAGAACCAAGAGGGGAGCUGGGAAGGAAGACACACACCUCCAGAUAAUGCCCUCAGCAACCUGCCUCUUCUGACCAGACCCCAUCGACUAACUGCCAGUGAUUGGCAAACUGUGAGCCUAGUUUGGUAACCGUUUGAUGAACCAGCCAGGCAAAUCCAAACAACUUUUCCAUGGCUUGACAGCCCUUUGUUAGCAUCGAGAUCCUGAAGUCCGAGCAGGUCCCUGGAUCACUUGUCCCAGCUCCUGUCCCUGGGUUUUUCCCGACUUUGAAACCACCAAUCUUCCGUGUACUUUUUCAACAAAGAAAUGGUUUCUGGAUCUGAGUGGCAUGUUAUCUGGAUGAUGUGAAGGUCUUCUCUCUGCAGAAUAAUAUUCACCACUACCACCACCGUCAGAAUACAACCCUUUCUACUGGUCAGUAGGCAACAAUUAGAGUGAAGUAACUAUAUGUGAUGGC